GAAAAGAGCUGUUAAGACACGUGUCUUGUUAUGAUCAAGAAAACCCUUAAAGUCGGCCCUACCUUUUUAUCUUACGGUGCAUGGACAAAAGAGUAUCGCUCUUUUUUUUUAUGGCGUAAGGAUAAGGCGCCCGUGAUGACUCCAAGCCAAAAUGGUGUUUACUGCAGCCUGAAGAAACUUAUUGAGAGUUACAGGUGGCCACAAAAGCAGUACCAUCGGCGUAUUGGUAUAAUGAACAGAAUACCUUGGGUUAGAAAUAUCGGCAACAUAAAGAACAUGUAUAAGACGUGAUAGAACUGAGCCUUGAGUACCUCCAGCAGAAACAUUGAAGGAUCGAGAGAGAGUGCACGUCUUUCACACAGAAGUGAGUUGAUAAUUCGGAUGUUGUCCCAGUAUGAAAAUUGGUGGGCCAACAGAGGGCUGCGCUCUCUCUCCUUGGCCAGGAGAAGAAUCUAAAUGUAGUUAACUGUGGAGGUAUGGAUGGGAAGGUGCAAACCGUCUAAUAUUCUCUGAAGAGCUAUUUAUGCAUGCAGCAUAAUAUUCAGAUCUACCUAUUAUCUCACACAAGUCACUGCUCAAUACCAGAACUUGUGGUUGGGCUGGAUCAUAGACAUACUAAAAUACUAGAUCGUGUAUUGACACUGUAAUCUGUCUGAUUUGCUGAAGAUAGUGACGUGUGCAUCUCACCAUUUUUGGUACGAUUAAAACAUCAACAUCGACUAAUUUCCGUGUGUAUUUAUUAUUCUAACAAAAUGCUGAGUUGUGCGGCUUACGGUUGUACAAACAGUACAAAUGCUUUUCGGGGACAAAACGUUCAUCAGGAAAAACAUUUCACAAAGUUCCUAGGAAUCCUGAAGAAUGUAAGUUGGUUAAACUAAGGCGGUCCCUUGGAAUCCUGAAGAAUGUAAGUUGGUGAAACUAAGGCGGUCCUUAGGAAUCCUGAAGAAUGUAAUUUGGUGAAACUAUGGCGGUCCUUAGGAAUUCUGAAGAAUGUAAGUUGGUUAAACUAUGGCGGUCCAUAGGAAUCCUGAAAAAUGUAAGUUGGUGAAACUAUGGCGGUCCAUAGGAAUCCUGAAGAAUGUAAGUUGGUGAAACUAUGGCGGUCCAUAGGAAUCCUGAAAAAUGUAAGUUGGUGAAACUAAGAUGAGAGAAUUUCAAGUCAUCUCCCCAUGCUACCUUAUGUUAUUCUAAGUUAUGUUAUUCAUAAGUUACAGUUUGGUAAUUAUUAGAUAAAUCGUCUAAUGAUCCAUCUCAUAGAGAUAAUACUAAUUUGAAGCACUUUUAUCUAUUC
RNAcentral lists this long non-coding RNA (1291 nucleotides) under Limulus polyphemus (Atlantic horseshoe crab). RNAcentral describes it as "uncharacterized LOC111085615, transcript variant X1". Lineage: Eukaryota; Metazoa; Arthropoda; Merostomata; Xiphosura; Limulidae. The record is from RNAcentral.